This 490-nucleotide ribosomal RNA is filed under the name uncultured bacterium. Its description in RNAcentral is "partial 16S ribosomal RNA". It matches the Rfam family "Bacterial small subunit ribosomal RNA", at positions 28 to 507 of the family's 1533-position model. The record is from RNAcentral.
GAUGAACGCUAGCGAUAGGCUUAACACAUGCAAGUCGAGGGGCAGCAUGGUCUUAGCUUGCUAAGACUGAUGGCGACCGGCGCACGGGUGCGUAACGCGUAUGCAACUUGCCUCACAGAGGGGGAUAACCCGUCGAAAGACGGACUAAUACCGCGUACACUCCAUCUUGGGCAUCCAAGGUAGAGGAAAUGAAAUUCGCUGUGAGAUAGGCAUGCGUCCCAUUAGCUAGUUGGUGAGGUAACGGCUCACCAAGGCGACGAUGGGUAGGGGAUCUGAGAGGUUGAACCCCCACACUGGUACUGAGGCACGGACCAGACUACUACGGGAGGCAGCAGUGAGGAAUAUUGGUCAAUGGGCGAGAGCCUGAACCAGCCAAGUCGCGUGAAGGAUGACUGUCUUAUGGAUUGUAAACUUCUUUUAUACGGGAAUAACAAGAGUCACGUGUGACUCCCUGCAUGUACCGUAUGAAUAAGCAUCGGCUAACUCCGUG